RNAcentral lists this ribosomal RNA (118 nucleotides) under Diaphorina citri (Asian citrus psyllid). Lineage: Eukaryota; Metazoa; Arthropoda; Insecta; Hemiptera; Psyllidae. The record is from RNAcentral.
UAGAUGGGCGAUAGCACGUUGAAUACAUUACUUUAAAUUUGAUUACUGAAGUUAAGAAACGUAGCAUGUGGUUGGGAUCCGGAUGGGUGACCAUCAGGGAAAUCACGUGUUUCUCACU